RNAcentral lists this ribosomal RNA (730 nucleotides) under uncultured bacterium. RNAcentral's name for it is "bacterial SSU rRNA". It matches the Rfam family "Bacterial small subunit ribosomal RNA", at positions 771 to 1500 of the family's 1533-position model. The record is from RNAcentral.
AACAGGAUUAGAUACCCUGGUAGUCCACGCCGUAAACGAUGGGCACUAGGUGUGGGGGGUGUCGACUCCCCCCGUGCCGAAGCUAACGCAUUAAGUGCCCCGCCUGGGGAGUACGGCCGCAAGGCUAAAACUCAAAGGAAUUGACGGGGACCCGCACAAGCAGCGGAGCAUGUGGUUUAAUUCGACGCAACGCGAAGAACCUUACCUGGGCUUGACAUGUGCCUGACCGGCCUGGAAACAGGUCCUCCCUUCGGGGCAGGUUCACAGGUGGUGCAUGGCUGUCGUCAGCUCGUGUCGUGAGAUGUUGGGUUAAGUCCCGCAACGAGCGCAACCCCCGUCGCAUGUUGCCAGCAUUUAGUUGGGGACUCAUGCGAGACUGCCGGUGACAAACCGGAGGAAGGUGGGGAUGACGUCAAGUCAUCAUGCCCCUUAUGUCCAGGGCUACACACGUGCUACAUUGGCGCGUACAGAGGGCUGCGAUACCGCGAGGUGGAGCGAAUCCCUCAAAGCGCGUCUCGGUUCGGAUUGCAGGCUGAAACCCGCCUGCAUGAAGGUGGAGUUGCUAGUAAUCGCGGAUCAGCAUCGCCGCGGUGAAUACGUUCCCGGGUCUUGUACACACCGCCCGUCACACCACGGGAGUGAGCAACACCCGAAGCCGGUGGCCUAACCCUUUGGGAGGGAGCCGUCGAAGGUGGGGCUCGUGACUGGGGUGAAGUCGUAACAAGGUACC